UACCUGCAGCUCAAGUGGUAACCGUUAUUAUUGGGCCUAAAGCGUCCGUAGCCGGUUUGGUAAAUAUCUGGGUAAAUCGUGAGGCUUAACUUCACGAAUUUCGGAUAGACUGCCAGACUUGGGAUCGGGGGAGGUCAGAGGUACUCCAGGGGUAGCGGUGGAAUGUUGUAAUCCUUGGAGGACCACCGGUAGCGAAGGCGUCUGACUAGAACGAGUCCGACGGUGAGGGACGAAGCCCUGGGGCGCAAACCGGAUUAGAUACCCGGGUAGUCCAGGGUGUAAACGAUGUGGGCUUUGUAUUGGAGGUCCCACGUGGGCGUCCAGUGCAGAAGAGAAGUUGUUAAGCCCACCGCCUGGGAAGUACGGUCGCAAGGCUGAAACUUAAAGGAAUUGGCGGGGGAGCACAGCAACGGGUGGAGCGUGCGGUUU
Molecule: ribosomal RNA, 429 nt
Filed under: uncultured archaeon
Lineage: Archaea
Description: bacterial SSU rRNA
Rfam family: Archaeal small subunit ribosomal RNA
Source: RNAcentral